GGUAAUGUGGCUUAGUGGUAGAAUGCUUGCCUAGCAUGCAUGAAGCCCUGGGUUCAAUUCCUCAGUACCA
This 70-nucleotide transfer RNA is filed under the name Dipodomys ordii (Ord's kangaroo rat). It matches the Rfam family "tRNA". Rfam says of the family: Transfer RNA (tRNA) molecules are approximately 80 nucleotides in length. Lineage: Eukaryota; Metazoa; Chordata; Mammalia; Rodentia; Heteromyidae. The record is from Rfam by way of RNAcentral.